This 790-nucleotide ribosomal RNA is filed under the name uncultured archaeon. RNAcentral's name for it is "bacterial SSU rRNA". It matches the Rfam family "Archaeal small subunit ribosomal RNA", at positions 85 to 879 of the family's 1478-position model. The record is from RNAcentral.
ACGGCUCAGUAACACGUGGAUAACCUGCCCAAGGGUCUGGGAUAACCCCGGGAAACUGGGGAUAAUACCGGAUGGAUCACUAGUGCUGGAAUGCUUGGUGGUCGAAAGGCAACGCCUUUGGAUGGGUCUGCGGCGGAUUAGGUUGACGCCGGUGUAACGUACCGGCGUGCCUGUAAUCCGUACGGGUUGUGGGAGCAAGAGCCCGGAGAUGGAUUCUGAGACACGAAUCCAGGCCCUACGGGGCGCAGCAGGCGCGAAAACUCUACAAUGCAGGCAACUGCGAUAGGGGGACAUCGAGUGGCAUCCACCUUGGGUGCCUGUCCAACCGUCUAAAAAACGGUUGUUAGCAAGGGCCGGGUAAGACCGGUGCCAGCCGCCGCGGUAAUACCGGCGGCUCGAGUGGUGGCCGAUAUUAUUGAGUCUAAAGGGUCCGUAGCCGGCUUUGCAAGUCCCCUGGGAAAUCCAGCGGCUUAACCGUUGGGCUUUCAUGGGAUACUACAUUGCUUGGGACUGGGAGAGGUAGGAGGUACUCGGGGGGUAGGGGUGAAAUCCUGUAAUCCUCCGGGGACCACCGGUGGCGAAGGCGUCCUACCAGAACAGGUCCGACGGUGAGGGACGAAAGCUAGGGGCACGAACCGGAUUAGAUACCCGGGUAGUCCUAGCCGUAAACGAUGCCCGCUAGGUGUCACGACGGUCGUGAAUCGUCGUGGUGCCGUAGGGAAGCCGCGAAGCGGGCCACUUGGGAAGUACGGCCGCAAGGCUGAACUUAAAGGAAUUGGCGGGGGAGCAC